This 21-nucleotide small RNA is filed under the name Karenia brevis. Its description in RNAcentral is "trans-spliced leader sequence SL". The record is from RNAcentral. Lineage: Eukaryota; Dinophyceae; Gymnodiniales; Kareniaceae.
CCGUAGCCAGUUUUGCUCAAG